Molecule: RNA transcript, 1776 nt
Organism: Mandrillus leucophaeus (drill)
Lineage: Eukaryota; Metazoa; Chordata; Mammalia; Primates; Cercopithecidae
Gene name: heat shock cognate 71 kDa protein pseudogene
Exons: 1
Source: RefSeq, a predicted model, not a curated record
AUGUCGAAGGGACCUGCAGUUGGUAUUUAUCUUGGCACCACCUAUUCUUGUGUGGGUGUUUUCCAGGACAGAAAAAUAGAGAUAAUUGCCAAUGAUCAGGAAAACCGAACCACUCCAAGCUAUGUCGCUGGACACUGAAUGAUUGACUGGUGAUGCCACAAAGAAUCAAGUUGCAAUGAACCCCAUCAACACACCAAACGUUUGUGAUUCCAAACAUCUGAUUGGACGCAGAUUUGAUGAUGCUGUUGUCCAGUCUGAUAUGAAGCAUUGGCCCUUCAUGGUGUUGAAUGAUGCUGGCAGUCCCAAGGCCCAAGUAGAAUACAAGGGAGAGACCAAAAGCUUCUAUCCAGAGGAGGUACCCUCUAUGGUUCUGACAAAGAUGAAGGAAAUUGCGGAAGUCAACCUUGGGAAGACUGUUACCAAUGCUGUUACUUUAAUGACUUUCAGUGUCAGGCUACCGAAGAUGCUGGAACUAUUGCUGGUCUCAAUGUACUUAGAAUUAUUAAUGAGCCAACUGCAGCUGCUAUUGCUUAUGGCUUAGACAAAAAGGUUGGAAUGGAAAGAAACGUGUUGAUCUUUGACCUGGGAGGUGACACUUUCGAUGUGUCAAUCCUCACUACUAAGGAUGGAAUCUUUGAGGUUAAAUCUACAGCCAGAGACACCCACUAGUGUGGAGAAGAUUUUGACAACCGAAUGGUCAACCAUUUUAUUGCUGAGUUCAAGCGCAAGCAUAAGGACAUCAGUAAGAAUAAGAGAGCUGUAAGAUUCCUCCAUUCUGCUUGUGAAUGAGCUAAGCAUACUCUCUCUUCCAGCACCCUGGCCAGUAUUGAGAUCAAUUCUCUCUAUGAAGGAAUCAACUUCUAUACCUCCAUUACCCAUGCCUGAUUUGAAGAAAAGAAUGUUGACCUGUUGCAUGGCAUCCUGGACCCCAUAGAGAAAGUCCUUCUAGAUGCCAAACUAGACAAGUCACAGAUUCAUGCCAUUGUCCUGGUUGGUGGUUCUACUUGUAUCCCCAAGUUUCAGAAGCUUCUCCAAGACUUCUUCAAUGGAAAAGAACUGAAUAAGAGCAUCAACCCUGAUGAAGCCAUUGCUUAUGGUGCAGCUGUCCAGGCAGCCAACCUGUCUGGAGACAAGUCUGCAAAUGUUCAAGAUUUGCUGGUCUUGGAUGUCACUCCUCUUUACCUUGGUAUUGAAGCUGCUGGUGGAGUCAUGACUAUCCUUAUCAAGCACAAUACUACCAUUCCUACCAAGCAGACACAGACCUUCACUACCUAUUCUGACAACCAGCCUGGUGUGCUUAUUCAGUUUUAUGAAGGUGAGUGUGCCAUGACCAAGGAUAACAACUGCUUGGCAAGUUUGAACUCAUAGGCAUACCUCCUGCACCCCGAGGUGUUCCUCAAAUUGAAGUCACUUUUGACAUUGAUGCUAAUGGUAUCCUCAGUGUCUCUGCUGUGGACAAGAGUACAGGAAAAGAGAACAAGAUUACUAUCACUAAUGACAAGCACCGUUUGAGCAAGGAAGACAUUGAACGUAUGGUCCAGGAAGCUGAGAGGUACAAAGUUGAAGAUGAGAAGCAGAGGAACAAAGUGUCAUCCAAGCAUUCACUUGAAACUUCAGGGCAAGACUAAUGAUGAUGACAAACAGCAGAUUCUGGACAAGUGUAAUGAAAUUAUCAACCGGCUCGGUAAGAAUCAGGCUGACGAGAAGGAAGAAUCUGAACAUCAGCAGAAAGAGCUGGAGAAAGUCUGCAACCCCAUCAACACCAAGCUGAUUUGA